UACGUAGGGUGCAAGCGUUGUCCGGAAUUAUUGGGCGUAAAGAGCUCGUAGGCGGUUUGUCGCGUCGAAUGUGAAAACCCGGGGCUCAACCCCGGGCCUGCAUUCGAUACGGGCAGACUAGAGUUCGGUAGGGGAGUCUGGAAUUCCUGGUGUAGCGGUGAAAUGCGCAGAUAUCAGGAGGAACCCCGGUGGCGAAGGCGGGACUCUGGGCCGAUACCGACGCUGAGGAGCGAAAGCGUGGGGAGCGAACAGG
This 253-nucleotide ribosomal RNA is filed under the name uncultured bacterium. RNAcentral describes it as "partial 16S ribosomal RNA". It matches the Rfam family "Bacterial small subunit ribosomal RNA", at positions 524 to 776 of the family's 1533-position model. The record is from RNAcentral.